UGUAAGUGUUCAUCACAGACAAGAGCGUUUUUUCAAAUGUGUUUCCUUAUUCUUAUGCUGCUUAUGCUGCCAUUAUGUUUCUAUCCUGCAUCGUUAAAGGAAAAUAUCACUAAGAAAACUGUUUUAGUAUUCGUUUCAUUACGCCACAUUUGAUACAUUCCCAAAAUGUUUUGUAUUUCCGCGAUCAAGUUUUCAAGAUCUAGAACUGUCAAAACACAGUAUGAUGUGUUUUUCAUCAUAUGAUUUAAACGUAUCAAACGUGAUUUAAACUAAAAACGUAUCAACCCCUACAAAAAUGUCCAUUAAUUAUAAUCCACACAAUUCACAUUUCCUGUUGCUACAGGAUUAUUUUCCUGCUGUGGUCAAAUUAAGAUCCUACAUCUGUACAUGCAAAGCUCCCAGCAGCAUUGAGCAGCAUUGUGAUUUUUUUGUUGAGUUUCGCUUCAGAGAGCUUUAGUUCCUGGCAGUGAUGCGUGACCACUUCAGGACCAUGCUCCACGUUUAUAAAACGUAGAACUUUAUUAAUAAAAAUACUGCCACAGUAGCUGAAGGCAUAGAAAAUGAAUAGCAAGAUCUGAUAGGCUAAUACUAUAAGUGUAGAGCACUCCAAUAACAAACAUUGCACACAUCCCUCUGUACCGACAACGUAGACAAAAUAACACGUUUCAAUACACAAAAGCACAUGAUUUUCACAGUGACAUACAAAAAAACAACAACAUUGCUUUCCCUUUUUUUGACCACACUUGAGUAUGGAAGCAUUUUCCUGUUGCUCUUGAGUGACUUGGAUGAGUUGAGUGGGUCCUCUCGUUUCAUGGCUGGUCUGAGGUGUUUCCAUGGUUUCCACUGAUGUCAUGGUUGUCCUCUGUUUUUCAGCCUGUAGUUCUCUAAGGUUGGAGGGUGGAGUGGAGGGGGUCCUAACAGCUAGACAGCUGACGGCCAAGGGGGAGGCUAGGUCUAGCAGCUAGACAGCUGACGGUCAAGGAGGGGGGGCUAGGUCUAGCAGCUAGACAGCUGACGGUCAAGGGGGGGGGGGCUAGGUCUAGCAG
Molecule: non-coding RNA, 1046 nt
Organism: Salvelinus sp. IW2-2015
Lineage: Eukaryota; Metazoa; Chordata; Actinopteri; Salmoniformes; Salmonidae
Source: RefSeq, a predicted model, not a curated record